UACAGAGAACACCACAAAGAUAUUCCUCAAGAAAGGCAACCCCAAGGCACAUAAUCAUCAGAUUCACCAGGGUUGAAAUAAAGGAAAAAAUGGUAAGGGCAGCCAAAGGGAAAGGUCAGGUCACCAAUAAAGGGAAGCCCAUCUAACUAACAGCAGAAUUCUCAGUAGAAACACUACAAGCCAGAAGAGAGUGGAGGCCAAUAUUCAACAUUCUUAA
Long non-coding RNA from Sapajus apella (tufted capuchin), 217 nucleotides. RefSeq lists it as uncharacterized. The transcript has 2 exons. NCBI's taxonomy places the organism in Eukaryota, Metazoa, Chordata, Mammalia, Primates, Cebidae. The record is from RefSeq and is a predicted model, not a curated record.